Molecule: transfer RNA, 76 nt
Filed under: Agrobacterium tumefaciens
Lineage: Bacteria; Pseudomonadati; Pseudomonadota; Alphaproteobacteria; Hyphomicrobiales; Rhizobiaceae
Also listed under: 22 other names
Description: tRNA-Thr
Rfam family: tRNA
About the family: Transfer RNA (tRNA) molecules are approximately 80 nucleotides in length. Their secondary structure includes four short double-helical elements and three loops (D, anti-codon, and T loops). Further hydrogen bonds mediate the characteristic L-shaped molecular structure. tRNAs have two regions of fundamental functional importance: the anti-codon, which is responsible for specific mRNA codon recognition, and the 3' end, to which the tRNAs corresponding amino acid is attached (by aminoacyl-tRNA synthetases). tRNAs cope with the degeneracy of the genetic code in two manners: having more than one tRNA (with a specific anti-codon) for a particular amino acid; and 'wobble' base-pairing, i.e. permitting non-standard base-pairing at the 3rd anti-codon position.
Source: RNAcentral
GCCGCUUUAGCUCAGUCGGUAGAGCACGUCAUUCGUAAUGACGGGGUCACGUGUUCGAGUCACGUAAGCGGCACCA